RNAcentral lists this non-coding RNA (128 nucleotides) under uncultured eukaryote. The record is from RNAcentral.
UUUUCUUUGGCUUCUCUUUUUUCCCCAAUUUUUUACUUAUUUUUGUUUUAUUUAUAAUUGCUACCAUCUUUUAGGUGGAAGAAGUCACGAAGCGGAGAGAGAGCCCCGAAUUUUUAGAAUAGCAGAUU